CCUACGGGGGGCUGCAGUGGGGAAUAUUGGACAAUGGGCGCAAGCCUGAUCCAGCAAUGCCGCGUGUGUGAAGAAGGCCUGCGGGUUGUAAAGCACUUUAAGCCGGAAAGAAGGCUGCAAGGCUAAUAUCCUUGUAGAUUGACGUUACCGGCAGAAUAAGCACCGGCUCACUCCGUGCCAGCAGCCGCGGUAAUACGGAGGGUGCGUACGUUAAGCGGAGCGACUGGGCGUGGAGCGUGCGGACGGGGGUGAAAGCCCUGGGCUUAACCUGGGAACUGCAGUGGAAACUGGCGGGCUAGAGUAUGGUAGAGGAGGGUGGAAUUUCCGGUGUAGCAGUGAAAUGCGUAGAGAUCGGAAGGAACACCAGUGGCGAAGGCGGCUCUCUGGACCAAUACUGACGCUGAGGUGCGAAAGCGUGGGGAGCAAACAGGAUUAGAUACCCCGGUAGUC
This 450-nucleotide ribosomal RNA is filed under the name uncultured bacterium. RNAcentral's name for it is "partial 16S ribosomal RNA". It matches the Rfam family "Bacterial small subunit ribosomal RNA", at positions 338 to 795 of the family's 1533-position model. The record is from RNAcentral.